Molecule: long non-coding RNA, 1002 nt
Organism: Armigeres subalbatus
Lineage: Eukaryota; Metazoa; Arthropoda; Insecta; Diptera; Culicidae
Exons: 4
Source: RefSeq, a predicted model, not a curated record
ACUUCUUUUACCCAUAUAUGGGUAUUGUAUACAACACCUAAAUUAUGGGUGAAAUAAACUGAUAAUAUCGGUAAUAUUUACUUAUAUUAUUAGUAAGUCGAGUUUACGCAAAUUUAGGUGAAUGCAUUUCACCCAUAUUUGGAUGAAAAACGGAACUUAACCGAUUCCGUCAGAAUCAAAUUGAUAACCAAACAAACCUGACGUCGAUUUGAAGGAAGAAUCCGCCACCUGCUUCCGAAGCUGCUGUUGUUUUAUUUAUUUUUACAUACCUCCUUUCGCUGUUAGUUUCGGUGCUACAAUUUCUUCCCGAUCGAGACUUGCUUUCCGAUUUUGCUGCUUUUGUUAGUUCAAAAGAACUUUGAGCAUGCUGCGGUUAAUAGUUAUUGCGGUUAAACGAUCGAAUCACUGCUGGAUAAUUAUAAAGAGGAGAGUCACGAAAAUCUGGAAUCCCGAUGUGAGCUGACGGUUCCGUAGUAGGCUGAUGUGAUGACCAUUCCAAGAGGCAACUGUAAAUAGAUACAGCGGAGUCAUCGAGGAAUCACGAGAGCAAACGUAAACGUUAGCGAGAAUGGAACUAAGAAUGAAUGCCAUUCCGAGAGCUGAUUUUCUUUGCCGCCAUUCGAUGCCAAAGUCCGGACCGUAGAUCUUCAUUUAAAAAAUCUCAGUACAUGUAGCAGCGGACCUUAUGUUUCGCACUUGGUUUCGCCGUACUUCUUCCAGAAUUCUUGCUGUCGUUCUGGAAAAACCUCCGACAACGAAUAGGGUAAUAAAAGCCGAUAGGUUCCUCUUGCGGUUAACGAUUAUCGACCCGAAGCUGCUGCUGAUCAUCCCAAGCGUCGCCAGUUCCGGUACCUCGCUAUUUAUUUUCCUGCCACCAGUACUGCUAACGUCGUUGUCAAACAUCCGACAACGAAUAGGUUAAUGAAAGCUAUAACUUGUAAAACGAUGAAUAGGCAGCAGACCUUUUGUUGCAACCCAUAAUAAAAACAAUAAUCCGCUUGA